UUCGCAAUUCACUCGUUUUACCUCGUUUGGUUCGAACCUUAGGUAGAACCUCAACUACUACAGGUAGAACCUCAACUACUACGAGGACUAGUAUCGUAUGAGUUGUUUUGGGACUAGUCUAAAUUGUUUCUCAGAGGUUAAACGUUGGCAACUACCAGUCGUUAUAUGACUUCUAAUGUCACAAAUCAUGUGCAGAAAAUAUAUUUUCUGGGAGUGUGAUAGAGGUAGAACCUCAACUACUACCAUGUAACUUUGGCUUUUGAUUUAGGAAAUCAAAUUGCGAGAAAUAACUUUUCUCAGGUAGAAGCACUACUACUUGCAGAAUUUGAUGCACUCGAUGGCUGUAAAUGGCUAGAC
Molecule: long non-coding RNA, 357 nt
Organism: Pistacia vera
Lineage: Eukaryota; Viridiplantae; Streptophyta; Magnoliopsida; Sapindales; Anacardiaceae
Exons: 4
Source: RefSeq, a predicted model, not a curated record